RNAcentral lists this ribosomal RNA (260 nucleotides) under uncultured bacterium. RNAcentral's name for it is "partial 16S ribosomal RNA". It matches the Rfam family "Bacterial small subunit ribosomal RNA", at positions 524 to 783 of the family's 1533-position model. The record is from RNAcentral.
UACGAAGGGUGCAAGCGUUACUCGGAAUUACUGGGCGUAAAGCGCACGUAGGCGGCCUGUUAAGUCGGAUGUGAAAUCCCUCGGCUCAACCGAGGACGUGCAUUCGAAACUGGCAGCUCGAGUAUGGAAGAGGGUCGCGGAAUUCCCGGUGUAGAGGUGAAAUUCGUAGAUAUCGGGAGGAACACCAGUGGCGAAGGCGGCGACCUGGGCCAAUACUGACGCUGAGGUGCGAAAGCGUGGGGAGCAAACAGGAUUGAGAU